UGAGAGACAGAGAGAGGAGCAGAAACAUAGGCAGAGGCAAAAGUAGGCUCCCUGCAGGGAGACCUACAUGAGCGUCGAUCCCAGACCCCAGGAUCAUGACCUGAGCCAAAGGCAGAUGCUCAAUCACUGAGCCACUCAGGCUCCCCUUUUUCUCUUCUCUUGAUGUAAAGUACAAUGGGAAGCAAUCCACAGACUUGUUAAUACUAUAUGACUUGACCUACUUCAAAGAAGUAACAGCACAUUUUAAUAUCAAUAAUUGGAGAUGAUACUCAAAAAAGUUAUGAUGCUACCUAUUCCAAAAAUAAAACUGAAAUAAAUGGAAUUUUUAAAUAAACUUAUGGGAGCACCCGGCAAGCUCAGCUGUUAAGAGCAUGCUACUCUUGAUCCUGGGGUCAUGGGUUCAAGCUCCACACUGAGUAGAGAUUACUUAAACUUUUUAAAAAUGUUUAAAAAAAUAAACUUAUGGGCAGCCCCGGUGGCGCAGCACAGGACAAAAACUAUAAUCGAUGAAAAAACAAAAGACUUUGUUGGAUGGAGAAUGAGUACUUCAGGAUAAAAUUAUUUGGGAUUAUUUAUUUCAACUACUCACAUCACUAUUUUUAUGAUUACUGAGAAAACCUGACAGGAAUUUUAAAUCACACUAACUAUGGCUGCAGAUUUAAAGGUAGGAAAAAAAAUUAAAACCUUCAGAAGCAUCAAUUUUUUAAUGCUGAGUUUUUGAUCUUCCUAUACAGUAUAGAGUAACAAUUAACCAGCAUUUGGUUGCAUAUAAAGGCUACAUGUCCUUAUUUAUAAAUGGAGGGACCUGCACUAAAUGAAUUCCAAGAGUUCCUUGCAGCGCAGUUUCAUGGAUCCGUGACCUGUGCCAUUACACAGGCACCAUACUUAGAGGGGCCGUAAAUUGAGUGAAUGCUUGCCAUCACUGUCUUCAAGUUCUUAAUAGUUUUUUUAAUGAAAAGGGGCCCCACAUCUUCAUUUUGCACUGGACUCCCAUUAUAUAGCUGGUCUAUUCCCUGAAAUUCUAAGAUUCUGUCAUUCUGUAAAAGUAUCCCUCUACAGUUCCAGGCACAAGGAGGAUAAAAACAGAAAACUGAGGUGACCUAUGUUCCAUCUGUUUCAGAAUAAUGACUCAGGAUUAUUUUCUACUUCUUUUUUUUUUUAGAUUUUUAAAAAAGAUUUUAUUUAUUUAUUCAUGAGAGACACAAAGAGAGCGGCAGAGACACAGGCAGAGGACUGUGUCCAUGCAAGGAGCCGACAUGGGAUUCGAUCCCGGGUCUCCAGGAUCAUGCCCUGGACUGAAGGCAGUGCUAAACCGCUGAGCCACCCGGGCUGCCCUUAUUUUCUACUUCUGUCAAAAAGAAACUAAUGUGUUUUUCUGGGUUGGGUUUUUUUUUUUUAGAUU
Molecule: long non-coding RNA, 1402 nt
Filed under: Canis lupus familiaris (dog)
Lineage: Eukaryota; Metazoa; Chordata; Mammalia; Carnivora; Canidae
Description: lncRNA (ENSCAFG00000057804.1, ENSCAFG00845004830.1)
Source: RNAcentral